GACGAACGCUGGCGGCGUGCUUAACACAUGCAAGUCGAACGGAAAGGCCCUGCUUUUGUGGGGUGCUCGAGUGGCGAACGGGUGAGUAACACGUGAGUAACCUGCCCUUGACUUUGGGAUAACUUCAGGAAACUGGGGCUAAUACCGGAUAGGAGCUCCUGCUGCAUGGUGGGGGUUGGAAAGUUUCGGCGGUUGGGGAUGGACUCGCGGCUUAUCAGCUUGUUGGUGGGGUAGUGGCUUACCAAGGCUUUGACGGGUAGCCGGCCUGAGAGGGUGGCCGGCCACAUUGGGACUGAGAUACGGCCCAGACUCCUACGGGAGGCAGCAGCGGGGAAUAUUGCACAAUGGGCGGAAGCCUGAUGCAGCAACGCCGCGUGCGGGAUGACGGCCUUCGGGUUGUAAACCGCUUUCGCCCGUGACGAAGCGUGAGUGACGGUAAUGGGUAAAGAAGCACCGGCUAACUACGUG
This 468-nucleotide ribosomal RNA is filed under the name uncultured bacterium. Its description in RNAcentral is "partial 16S ribosomal RNA". It matches the Rfam family "Bacterial small subunit ribosomal RNA", at positions 28 to 507 of the family's 1533-position model. The record is from RNAcentral.